RNAcentral lists this small RNA (389 nucleotides) under Pongo abelii (Sumatran orangutan). RNAcentral describes it as "retained intron". The record is from RNAcentral. Lineage: Eukaryota; Metazoa; Chordata; Mammalia; Primates; Hominidae.
AGCCGCUGUCAGUCUGGUGUGGCAGGAGGGGCCUGGGUGGGAGCCGUCCUGCGAUUGCAGACUGGGCCUUGGGGCCCCAGGUGGCUGAGUCCUGGCGCUGUGUCCUUUCAGGAUGGUGGAUGUGGGGGGCCAGCGGUCGGAGCGGAGGAAGUGGAUCCACUGCUUUGAGAACGUGACAUCCAUCAUGUUUCUCGUCGCCCUCAGCGAAUACGACCAAGUCCUGGUGGAGUCGGACAACGAGAACCGGAUGGAGGAGAGCAAAGCCUUGUUCCGGACCAUCAUCACCUACCCCUGGUUCCAGAACUCCUCCGUCAUCCUCUUCCUCAACAAGAAGGACCUGCUGGAGGACAAGAUCCUGUACUCGCACCUGGUGGACUACUUCCCUGAGU